CCUACGGGAGGCAGCAGUGGGGAAUCUUAGACAAUGGGGGCAACCCUGAUCUAGCCAUGCCGCGUGAGUGAUGAAGGCCUUAGGGUCGUAAAGCUCUUUCGCCUGUGAUGAUAAUGACAGUAGCAGGUAAAGAAACCCCGGCUAACUCCGUGCCAGCAGCCGCGGUAAUACGGAGGGGGUUAGCGUUGUUCGGAAUUACUGGGCGUAAAGCGCGCGUAGGCGGAUUAGAAAGUUGGGGGUGAAAUCCCGGGGCUCAACCCCGGAACUGCCUCCAAAACUGCUAGUCUAGAGUUCGAGAGAGGUGAGUGGAAUUCCGAGUGUAGAGGUGAAAUUCGUAGAUAUUCGGAGGAACACCAGUGGCGAAGGCGGCUCACUGGCUCGAUACUGACGCUGAGGUGCGAAAGUGUGGGGAGCAAACAGGAUUAGAUACCCCGGUAGUCCACACCGUAAACGAUGAAUGCCAGUCGUCGGAUAGUAUACUAUUCGGUGACACACCUAACGGAUUAAGCAUUCCGCCUGGGGAGUACGGUCGCAAGAUUAAAACUCAAAGGAAUUGACGG
RNAcentral lists this ribosomal RNA (560 nucleotides) under uncultured bacterium. RNAcentral describes it as "bacterial SSU rRNA". It matches the Rfam family "Bacterial small subunit ribosomal RNA", at positions 338 to 916 of the family's 1533-position model. The record is from RNAcentral.